AGUUCUUAACCUGGUCUCCUGCUCUCCCUCUGCACUCUGGUCCCUAUCACAGCCUUUAGCAGCAGGACCUGAUCAUCUCUCCUGACUUAAAGAUGCUUUUUGUAAUCCCCAUUCUCUUUCAAGGGACACUCAACAAACAUCAGUGGUUAUCAUUAUUGAUAUUUUCAUUAUUGUCAUUGUUUUAUUUACUUUCAGACACUACAGUUGUCUUAUGUGAAACUAUUUCCAUAUUAAAAAGUUAGAUUUUUCCAUUUCUUUUGAGUGUUGCAAAACCUCCAUGAGAUAAGGAAGAGUUGGUGUUGUAUAUAAAAGAGAAAUUGUACUUAUCAUCUGAAAAAAUGUGUUAGUUCAUUCAGUAGGGAGUAAUUCAUGUGUUUUAUCAAAAACUGUGACACAAUCUGAUAGUAUUUUGCAGAGAUCACAUGGGCUGCUCCAUGGAGAAAAUAUCUGAUCAGAUCACGAUGAAGCAAAGAGGUCGUAACUGACAAUGUCUAAACAAAUGACUGUGGAGAGAGAUCAGAAAGAUGUUUAGGAAGAGAACUUAGCAGGAUUUGACAACUGGUUGGAUUUAGAAGGUGAGGAAGACUGACUACCAACAGCUCCUUAUUUUUAGAGUGAUGAGUUGGACAUGCUCUGAAUCUUCUUGUAUGUCUUCUAAGAAAGGGAAGAUAAAAUAGCAAAUUAAAUCAUACCAUUUUUAUUUUCCAAAUUUUCUGAUCCCAUUUAUCUGACAGUGGUGCAGCAGGAUGCCUGCCAACAGUCUUAGAAGCCAGAGCAUGGAAAAGGGUCACCUCCAUCUAACCUUGUGCCAUGAGGCUAAGAACAACGACGUCCACCAAACUGCCUCUCCAUUCUGCAACGCGCAAGUGAAAUAAGACUGAAGUGUCCCCUCGAGUCUCAAGGACUGAAUAAAACAACACAUAUUGAAAAAGCUGAGAAGAAUCUAUUAAGGAGAAAAGAAUACAGAAAAAUUAUUUACAUAGAAACAUGGCUUUAAAGGACAUGCUUAUAUUCAAUAAAGGUUAAACAAAUUAA
Molecule: long non-coding RNA, 1035 nt
Organism: Chinchilla lanigera (long-tailed chinchilla)
Lineage: Eukaryota; Metazoa; Chordata; Mammalia; Rodentia; Chinchillidae
Exons: 2
Source: RefSeq, a predicted model, not a curated record